GGGGCUGAACGGUUUCGACUUUGGUCGUUGGAGCCAAGAGAAGCGAGUCGAGGACCCAGGGUUAUCUCGUUAACGAUCCCUGGAAACCUAUAAGUGCCAAGGUUAAUCGCACUCACUUCGCCCUCGCUGCUUAAGCGACGGUGAAGGGUCGGUCUGGAUGAGCCUCCGCUCCAGUAUCCGGCCUCACUGAGGAGGCUUGCUGCAGACGCCCGGUCGCGGGGCGUCUGCAGGACUUUCACAGCGGCUGAGCCCGUCGGCAACGUGUCUGCUCGAGUGCCGGGGCUGAGAAAAGCGUCAAGCCGACUGCGCUCGGAGAAGACUUGGUUCGGCGUCAGAGGACCCGGGUUCGAUUCCCGGCAGCUCCACCC
Molecule: transfer-messenger RNA, 368 nt
Filed under: Propionibacteriales bacterium
Lineage: Bacteria; Bacillati; Actinomycetota; Actinomycetes; Propionibacteriales
Rfam family: transfer-messenger RNA
About the family: Bacterial tmRNA, also known as 10Sa RNA or SsrA, is named for its dual tRNA and mRNA-like properties. Its role is to liberate the mRNA from a stalled ribosome.
Source: RNAcentral